RNAcentral lists this non-coding RNA (24 nucleotides) under Arabidopsis thaliana (thale cress). Lineage: Eukaryota; Viridiplantae; Streptophyta; Magnoliopsida; Brassicales; Brassicaceae. The record is from RNAcentral.
GAAUGUCUGCCUGCGCAUUGUGUG